CCCGCACAGGCGGUGGAGCAUGUGGUUUAAUUCGAUGCAACGCGAAGAACCUUACCUACUCUUGACAUCCACAGAACUUUCCAGAGAUGGAUUGGUGCCUUCGGGAACUGUGAGACAGGUGCUGCAUGGCUGUCGUCAGCUCGUGUUGUGAAAUGUUGGGUUAAGUCCCGCAACGAGCACAACCCCUAUCCUUAUUUGCCAGCACGUAAUGGUGGGAACUCUAGGGAGACUGCCGGUGAUAAACCGGAGGAAGGUGGGGACGACGUCAAGUCAUCAUGACCCUUACGAGUAGGGCUACACACGUGCUACAAUGGCCGGUACAAAGGGUUGCGAAGCCGUGAGGUGGAGCGAAUCUCAAAAAGCCGGCCUCAGUUCGGAUUGGAGGCUGCAACUCGCCUCCAUGAAGUCGGAAUCGCUAGUAACCGCAGAUCAGCUACGUUGCGGUGAAUACGUUCCCGGGCCUU
This 464-nucleotide ribosomal RNA is filed under the name uncultured Shewanella sp. Its description in RNAcentral is "bacterial SSU rRNA". It matches the Rfam family "Bacterial small subunit ribosomal RNA", at positions 920 to 1382 of the family's 1533-position model. Lineage: Bacteria; Pseudomonadati; Pseudomonadota; Gammaproteobacteria; Alteromonadales; Shewanellaceae. The record is from RNAcentral.